This 279-nucleotide ribosomal RNA is filed under the name Curtobacterium sp. PhB131. The record is from RNAcentral. Lineage: Bacteria; Bacillati; Actinomycetota; Actinomycetes; Micrococcales; Microbacteriaceae. RNAcentral also lists the same sequence under 1 other name.
CGAAGACUUGAUAACACACUGAUUUCCGUGCACUUGUUGCACGGGCUCGCGUCCACUUUGUGGUUCCCGACAGACGAUCGGGAAUCAAACUGAAUGCACCGCUCUGCCCAUUCGUGGGUAGCAGCCGGAACAUGUUUGAGACCAGAUCAUGGUCGAUAGUGUUCCGGUGGUCAUAGCGAGAGGGAAACGCCCGGUCACAUUCCGAACCCGGAAGCUAAGCCUCUCAGCGCCGAUGGUACUGCAAGGGGGACCUUGUGGGAGAGUAGGACGCCGCCGGAC